AACGAACGCUGGCGGCAUGCCUAACACAUGCAAGUCGAACGAUGCCUUCGGGCAUAGUGGCGCACGGGUGCGUAACGCGUGGGAAUCUGACUUUCGGUUCGGAAUACCUCAGGGAAACUUGAGAUAAUACCGGAUAACGUCGCAAGACCAAAGAUUUAUCACCGAAAGAUGAGCCCGCGUAGGAUUAGCUAGUUGGUGAGGUAAAGGCUCACCAAGGCGACGAUCCUUAGCUGGUCUGAGAGGAUGGUCAGCCACACUGGGACUGAGACACGGCCCAGACUCCUACGGGAGGCGGCAGUGGGGAAUAUUGGACAAUGGGCGAAAGCCUGAUCCAGCAAUGCCGCGUGAGUGAUGAAGGCCUUAGGGUUGUAAAGCUCUUUUACCCAGGAAGAUAAUGACGGUACCGAGAGAAUAAGCCCCGGCUAACUCCGUG
This 433-nucleotide ribosomal RNA is filed under the name uncultured bacterium. Its description in RNAcentral is "partial 16S ribosomal RNA". It matches the Rfam family "Bacterial small subunit ribosomal RNA", at positions 29 to 507 of the family's 1533-position model. The record is from RNAcentral.